AGUGGAAGAAGGCAGAGUGUUGCAGAUCAGUGGAGAGAGAAGCAAGGAACAUGAAGAGAAGAACGACAAAUGGCAUAGAAUUGAGCGGAGCAGUGGAAAGUUCAUGAGGCGAUUCAGGCUGCCGGAAAAUGCUAAAGCGGAGGAGGUGAAGGCCAGCAUGGAGAAUGGAGUGCUGACGGUGACGGUGCCCAAAAUAGAAGAGAAGAAGCCUGAAGUGAAGUCUAUUGACAUCUCUGGCUAGACAUCACAUUGUUCCUUCUGCUUGUGCGUUCUGCCUCUUUUUAUGUUUAUGUCUAAUAAACUGUCGGUGUGCUCUGCAAUGUUUGUAGCUUUGUAAACAUGAAAUGUGUUUGGCUAUGUUUUAUAUGAGAAUGAACCUAAUCUGA
RNAcentral lists this unclassified non-coding RNA (386 nucleotides) under Hevea brasiliensis (rubber tree). The record is from RNAcentral. Lineage: Eukaryota; Viridiplantae; Streptophyta; Magnoliopsida; Malpighiales; Euphorbiaceae.